ACGGGAGGCAGCAGUGGGGAAUAUUGCACAAUGGGGGAAACCCUGAUGCAGCAACGCCGCGUGAGUGAUGAAGUUCCUUGGCAUGUAAAGCUCUAUCAGCAGGGAAGAAAAUGACGGUACCUGACUAAGAAGCCCCGGCUAACUACGUGCCAGCAGCCGCGGUAAUACGUAGGGGGCAAGCGUUAUCCGGAUUUACUGGGUGUAAAGGGUGCGUAGGUGGUAUGGUAAGUCAGAAGUGAAAACCCAGGGCUUAACCUUGGGAUUGCUUUUGAAACUAUCAAACUAGAGUACAGGAGGGGUAAGCGGAAUUCCUAGUGUAGCGGUGAAAUGCGUAGAUAUUAGGAAGAACACCAGCGGCGAAGGCGGCUUACUGGACUGUAACUGACACUGAGGCACGAAAGCGUGGGGAGCAAACAGGAUUAGAUACCCUGGUA
This 434-nucleotide ribosomal RNA is filed under the name uncultured Lachnospiraceae bacterium. Its description in RNAcentral is "partial 16S ribosomal RNA". It matches the Rfam family "Bacterial small subunit ribosomal RNA", at positions 341 to 792 of the family's 1533-position model. Lineage: Bacteria; Bacillati; Bacillota; Clostridia; Lachnospirales; Lachnospiraceae. The record is from RNAcentral.